CCUGGGAUAGCACAGUCGGUAGAGUAUGAGACCCUUAAUCUCAGGGUCGUGGGUUCAAACCUCACGUUGGGGG
Non-coding RNA from Podarcis lilfordi (Lilford's wall lizard), 73 nucleotides. NCBI's taxonomy places the organism in Eukaryota, Metazoa, Chordata, Lepidosauria, Squamata, Lacertidae. The record is from the annotation of a GenBank genome assembly.